UCAGCUCACGGUUGAAGAUCUGCCUGAGGUCCCAACAUCCGAAGAAAAUGCUGAAAAGUUGGAUCUUCCCAACGUACCAACCAAAAAACCUGUUGCAGCUGAUGAUGCCAUUGAAGAAGAUGCUGUAAUUGUUUCAUCUGAUGCCUCCACAAAGAGAAGAGUUAUGGAAGAACCAUUGCCAGCAUAAGUGUUUGGUAUACUUGAUCGAGGUUGGUGAAGUGGUUUGAGCUGAGACUCUGUUAUUUGCUUUUGUUAUUUAUUAUGUCUCAUUCACCAAUAUCAUGUUGUACAGACACUUCCUUAUGCACAUAUAUAAAUUUAUU
Molecule: non-coding RNA, 323 nt
Organism: Cucurbita pepo subsp. pepo (vegetable marrow)
Lineage: Eukaryota; Viridiplantae; Streptophyta; Magnoliopsida; Cucurbitales; Cucurbitaceae
Source: RefSeq, a predicted model, not a curated record